Myotis daubentonii (Daubenton's bat) is the source of this 1918-nucleotide long non-coding RNA. RefSeq lists it as uncharacterized. Lineage: Eukaryota; Metazoa; Chordata; Mammalia; Chiroptera; Vespertilionidae. The record is from RefSeq and is a predicted model, not a curated record.
UAGGGUAAGGGUUUAGAGGUGGGGUAUGGCGAGGCAGAGAAAAUGGCUUCUAGAAAGAGUGCCUCCGCUUUUCCUGGGCCAUCCCACACUCGCUCUGUACUUGGGUGUGUGAGGAGGGAAGCAGAGCAGACCCCACCUGUGGACCAGGCCUGAGGUGCUCCCCGCAGCUGUGACCUGACCAGGUGGUUGUGAGGCUGCAAGGAGCACCAAAGAGCUUCCCAAGUCAGGGAAGACAGUCCUCCCUCUCAGUUCUCUCCCUCCCACUCUCGACUGCUCUGCCCUCCUCUCGCCUGCUGACCACUGGCAGUUCCUGGUGAGAACUCAGACCUGCAAAACACUGCAUGGCCUCACGUUCCUUGGCAGUGCAGUCUUCACCCGUCAGGGCCCUGGGUGUCUCCACCCUUCCUCAUCCUCAGUCAUAACCGCUUUGUUGCACCAUAGCCCAUUCUGCUUUCCUCCUCGGCUCAUCUUUAUCGGCCAGUCUGGCCCUCUUGCCCAACCUCAUGACUUCCACCGAGAAAGCCAGUGUUGAGGACAGAGGGUCGUGCUUUGGAGAGAGGAAGCACGGAAGAGGAUGGAACACACUGGGUUCCUACUUAACCUUGCUGGGUCAUGGUGCACGUAAAGUCCUGACUCAUCAACUGGACACCACACUGGCCUCCUCAGCUGUAGGGAACUCCUAGCCCCGCAUCAGUGCCCCUCCUAACACCUCCCACCUUGUCUGCCAAACUGAGCACACGUCCUUGGUAGCCCUGCCUGCACCCCCUUCUCCAUUGAGGUCUGACCUCCAGGACUUUGUUCAGCGUCACCUGCUUUACCAGGCUGAGGGCUUUCUAAAGAUGUGACGCCAUCGUAGCAUCGUUCUACCAAUAACAUUUCUCAAGUGGGCCACGACCCGGUCAAGUCCAGCCUCUGUCUUUCCCAAACAGCUAAGGCUCCCUCCCCGUCUUCCCGCUCAGCUCGGUUAUCUCAGUGAAUGUCACACCUCUUGGGAACUGACCUGAUUGUCUACAACUGAGGUAAGGCAUUCUGGAACUCAAAAAAAAAGUAGCCUUCGGAGCUCCCUGCCCAAAAAACUUAUUAAUUUUGCUAUUUUAACUCUGCACAUAAUUUAUCCUGCAUUUCAGACAUGACUUUUUAACUACCUGCUGGGCACUGCCACCUGGAUGCCAAGUCCACCCUUAAUACAGAACAGUAGUUAAAGCAGCCCUUCCUCUCAAGCUCCCAAGCCAGAGCUCUCCCCUGCCAGUCAAGGUGCCUGCCUCUCCCUCUCCCUCACCACCUUCUAGGCCCCAGGAAUGGGGGAGUCUCUCAACAGUCCCUCCAGAUUACCCCUCCUCCCCACAACCACAGGCUAAAGCAGGCUUGAAGCUUCAAACUUACGGUGUCCCCAACUGGCCUCAUUCCCACCUCCUGAGCUCUGUUCCUUGUAACAGCUUUCCCUCAUCCUCUCUGCCCUUCAACACCUACUAUCGCUAUACAUCCACGCCUGCCCUUCAGAACCCCACUGCUUGCGAGUCCCUUACCCACCUUGUCCUUCACGUCAAGGCUCAAAAGUCACCUCUUCUGUGAAGCUUUGGUGACUACCUCCUCUGGGUCCUAAUAACCCACCCUUUGCUUCAGGAUACUUAACACACUGGGAGAUCUAAUGUGGUCAUGGGGCCUGGCUGGUUUGGCUCCGUGGAUAGAGCGUCGGCCUGGAGACCGAAGGGUUCCGGGUUCGAUUCCGGUCAAGGGCACGUACCUCAGUUGCAGGGCUCCGCCCUGACCGAGGCCCCAGUCGGCAUGCGUGCAGGAGGCAACCAAUCGAUGUGUUUCUCUCACAUUGACAUUUCUCUGUCUUUCCCUCUCUCUAAAAAUCAAUGGAAAAAAUGUUAUUCGGAUGAGGAUUAAAAAAAAAAUAAAGUGGCAAUUGGUG